UGAAUGUAGUGUGUUUGUAGUGAGUGCAGAGUGUGUAUAAUGAAUGUAGUGUGUUUGUAGUGAGUGCAGAGUGUGUACAAUGAAUGCAGUGUAUGUAGUGUGUUUGUAGUGAAUGCAGAGUGUGUAUAGUGAAUGUAGUGUGUAAUGAGUGCAGAAUGUGUAUAGUGAAUGCAGAGUGUGUAUAGUGAAUGUAGUGUGUAAUGAGUGCAGAAUGUGUAUAGUGAAUGCAGAGGGUGUAUAGUGAAUGUAGUGUGUUUGUAGUGAGUGUAUAGUGAAUGUAGUGUGCUUGUAGUGUAUAAUGAAUGCAGUGUGUGCAUG
Molecule: non-coding RNA, 318 nt
Organism: Pelobates cultripes (western spadefoot toad)
Lineage: Eukaryota; Metazoa; Chordata; Amphibia; Anura; Pelobatidae
Source: the annotation of a GenBank genome assembly